CUCGUUAUGCAAGCAAUUCAUAUGAUAUUAUGUGUGCCUAGGAGCCACGGGAUCUAAGAUCCAGCUGAUGGAUCUAGAUUGGGUUCCUAUGAUGGACCCUUUUCAGUUGUACAGUUAGCUUGUAAAUCAUAUAUAUGGUGUUUGGACAUCCUUCGAUGGCUUUCAUGCCCAUAAGGAGCCCGACACUUAUAUGUAUAUUAUUUUGUCGAAGAUGGUUCUCAUCUCGAGAAUAAAAUCAAAACAACCCGAAUACAGAAUAAAAUGGAAGUAUUGAAGGCCUCAAUUACUAUGAGAGCAUAAGGGUUUGAUAACUUGUUUUCAAAACAUCAUUUCUGUAUAUUUUGCUUAUAAUUGAAUUUUUAUACAAAUCAAACCCUUUGUAUAUAGGUGCAAACAAGACAUAGCACUACUUCCAAAUGAUGCACCUAGGCCCAAUAAAUUGUACACACACACAUACUUUCAAAUAAUUAGGGAAUUGAAAAGACGCGAUAACCAUGUUUUCACAGAAGUUGGGGGGUGCCUAACACCUUCCCCCCGCUUAAGCAAGCCACUGAAACCUAUGAAUCUCGGUUUCUAAGGCCUGUUAAAUAGAGUCCAAUAAUUGGGCAUUUGCGUAACCCUUUUCAAAUUCAGUUGAGUUGGUAAAACCAUUUCACUAUUACUAACUGGCGACUCUGAAUUUUCAAAUUGUCGACAUUUUAUGUCGGACUCUUUUUCAAACUCGCCCUUUCAAAUAAAAUUCAAAACAUAGUAAACAUAAAGGGUAGAAAGACUAAAAGAGGAAUUCCAACGAAAGAAAAUUUUUCCCGACAUCAACAGGUGACGAUUCUGCUGGGGACAGUAGAAGGCUUAAGCCGCAUUUCAAUCUUUUCAAAAACCCUUCUUAUUUGCUUGUGUGUGAAUGUUGUCUUUAUAUUGAAUGGAUGUAAAUGAAUGCUUUAUUUACUGGACUUUAGUGCCUCACACAAUCCAUGCGCUUUAUAUUAGUACUUUGCACAAUGUCUUCAUUUUAUACAGUGAGAUAAGAUGUAUGAGAAUGUAUGUUGUGUGAUUCUUUCACCGGGAGGCAAACCCGUCGGUGUUUGAUUACUGGACUCAACGAAAAAUAAUCCUGUGAGGCUCAGGAAAGCCACCACUUAGAUCUGCUCCUAUUAAAAGAUCGGAUUAAUUUCCCCUCUAGUAAAUUAC
Molecule: long non-coding RNA, 1188 nt
Filed under: Panax ginseng (ginseng)
Lineage: Eukaryota; Viridiplantae; Streptophyta; Magnoliopsida; Apiales; Araliaceae
Description: long non-coding RNA (PGIN_LNC014526)
Source: RNAcentral